Schistosoma curassoni is the source of this 45-nucleotide non-coding RNA. The record is from Rfam. NCBI's taxonomy places the organism in Eukaryota, Metazoa, Platyhelminthes, Trematoda, Strigeidida, Schistosomatidae.
AUCCAGCUGAAGAGUCCCAAAUAAGACUAAACGCGCGCCCUUGAU